Molecule: long non-coding RNA, 1160 nt
Organism: Heterocephalus glaber (naked mole-rat)
Lineage: Eukaryota; Metazoa; Chordata; Mammalia; Rodentia; Bathyergidae
Source: Ensembl
GAAAUCUGCACUGAUAAAUCAAAGGCAAAAAAGAUGCCAGAUUGUGCCAGGGAGCUCGUGUUGUAGGUCAUCCAUCUGAUCCAGUGCCGUUCUGCACUGGGGACUGCCAUCCGACAGUAGGGCCAUGACCCUGGAGAGUGUAACCAUCAUCAUGGUUAUAUUAGUGUUACUGGCAUUUUAAAAGACAUCCUGGAACAUUCCUUUGGAGCUUCAUAGCAGUCUAAUGAGCAGAACAGGGCCAGCACAUUAAGGUAAUAGAGGAGUGGAAUAAAGCAGACUGCAUCACUGUUUUCUCUAGAAAAGCAGAAAGACUGAGUGGAUGCUGUAGCUGCUGUUUUCCUUUUGCAUUCUGGAGUGGGAUCGCAGUGCAGGGAGAGUCCCCAGGAGUCAAGGAAAGCCUGGCCCAAUGAUUUAUCACAGGCCCCAUGCUGGGACCUCUCAGGAAAUCACAAGAACCUUCUGAUCAUUGGGUUGUCCAGGAGGUAACAGCUACUCCUCUUCUCUUGACUGAAGAAAUGUCUCCCUCUACCUGACAAGUGGCCUCUCUUCCCGAAUGAUACAUAGUGACUUUUGAAGAAAUAAGAAAAUACUUGCUAGCCUGUCAUAUCAGCCGAAACAACUAUGGUGAGCUGGCGAAUAUUGCAAUUACGUGAUUGUUGCUGCAUCAAUAGAAUCCCAAAGCGAUAGUCACUCGUCUUUCUCCUCCUCACUAAUCCAGCAGUCAAAUAAUCACUUAUAAGCAUUUACUGUGCAUUUACCACCAUAUAAUAUAAAAUGUGUCAAGUAGUUAGAUAUAUAAAAUAAUCUCUCAACUCUCAAUAAUUAUAAAAAACUAAGAAAUUAAGAGUUGUGCAUGUGAAAAGACAACUACACAGAGAAGAGGACAACGAACCCAUUCAGAACAUCUCUAAUACGUUAGUCACUGUGUGAGGUGCGGUCCAUGUGUUAUUUUAUCUAAUCCCUUCAACAUCUCUGAGAGGCAUCCUAGCUUCCUUCUAUGGAUGGUGACACUGGGAGUCAGAGAUGCUUAAUAACUUGCCCAAGGUCACAUAGCUAGAAAAGCAUAGACCCUAUUUUCCAGUUUAGAUGUAUCCAAUUCCAUAGGCUAUGCCUCGUUACUAAUCCUCACCUGGCAAUAAGAAAAGUCAGUGCUCAGAGAC